RNAcentral lists this ribosomal RNA (412 nucleotides) under Theileria sp. Its description in RNAcentral is "SSU rRNA". It matches the Rfam family "Eukaryotic small subunit ribosomal RNA", at positions 469 to 922 of the family's 1831-position model. Lineage: Eukaryota; Apicomplexa; Aconoidasida; Piroplasmida; Theileriidae. The record is from RNAcentral.
GACAAGAAAUAACAAUACGGGGCUUAAUGUCUUGUAAUUGGAAUGAUGGGAAUUUAAACCUCUUCCAGAGUAUCAAUUGGAGGGCAAGUCUGGUGCCAGCAGCCGCGGUAAUUCCAGCUCCAAUAGCGUAUAUUAAAAUUGUUGCAGUUAAAAAGCUCGUAGUUGAAUUUCUGCUGCAUUUCAUUUCUCUUUCUGAGUUUGUUUUUGCGGCUUAUUUCGGUUUGAUUUUUUCUUUCCGGAUGAUUACUUUGAGAAAAUUAGAGUGCUCAAAGCAGGCUUUUGCCUUGAAUAGUUUAGCAUGGAAUAAUAAAGUAGGACUUUGGUUCUAUUUUGUUGGUUUUAGGUACCAAAGUAAUGGUUAAUAGGAACAGUUGGGGGCAUUCGUAUUUAACUGUCAGAGGUGAAAUUCUUA